GAUGAACGCUGGCGGCGUGCCUAAUACAUGCAAGUCGAGCGAACAGACGAGGAGCUUGCUCCUCUGACGUUAGCGGCGGACGGGUGAGUAACACGUGGAUAACCUACCUAUAAGACUGGGAUAACUUCGGGAAACCGGAGCUAAUACCGGAUAAUAUAUUGAACCGCAUGGUUCAAUAGUGAAAGACGGUUUUGCUGUCACUUAUAAAUGGAUCCGCGCCGCAUUAGCUAGUUGGUAAGGUAACGGCUUACCAAGGCAACGAUGCGUAGCCGACCUGAGAGGGUGAUCGGCCACACUGGAACUGAGACACGGUCCAGACUCCUACGGGAGGCAGCAGUAGGGAAUCUUCCGCAAAGGGCGAAAGCCUGACGGAGCAACGCCGCGUGAGUGAUGAAGGUCUUCGGAUCGUAAAACUCUGUUAUUAGGGAAGAACAAAUGUGUAAGUAACUAUGCACGUCUUGACGGUACCUAAUCAGAAAGCCACGGCUAACUACGUG
RNAcentral lists this ribosomal RNA (497 nucleotides) under uncultured bacterium. RNAcentral's name for it is "partial 16S ribosomal RNA". It matches the Rfam family "Bacterial small subunit ribosomal RNA", at positions 28 to 507 of the family's 1533-position model. The record is from RNAcentral.